AGUUUUAAACAGUCCAGCGUCUGCUACAUCAAGCUGAGGAGCUAACAUUAGAGGGAAUUACUGGGUGGAGUGUCUGUUAACUUCAAAGUGAAGCAAACAUCUAAACUGUUAAAGAUAAGAGUGGAAACUGAUUCAACAGGAGACAAAAGUCAAAAGAAGACAGCAUAUCUCUGAAAAGUCAACUGCCUAAGGAGACCAUGGAGCUGGGACCAUAUAUAAUUAUUUGUAUAUGUGCUGUAAAUGCUGUUGUUUGGGGAUGCCCCCAGCAAUGCAAGUGCAAGGACAACAAUACUAUUUGCAAGGGCUAUGACAUUAAAGACUUUCCAUCCCAUAUUCCAUCAACAACAAAGUCUAUAAGCCUUUCAUGUACUAACAUUUCCUCACUGAAACCUGCUGAUUUUGAUGCAUUUUCUGAGACUUUGACAAAAAUUACAGUUAAUAAUUCAAGGAUAAAUGAGGUGCAACCUCACACAUUUGACAAGAUGCACAAACUCACCACUUUAGUGUGUUCAGGAACUGAGCUGGUUUCUCUACCAGAGGACUUGUUUCAGAAACUACACUCACUCACCCUUCUGAGGCUGAGUAACAACAAGCUAAAUAAACUCCCUUCAUCCCUGCUAACAUCUCUUCAGUCUCUGAAAAUCUUAGACCUAAGCAAAAACAACUUGAGUUCUAUUCCAGAGGAUGCAUUUCAGGGUCUCAUUCACUUGGAGACGCUUAUGCUGCAGAGGAAUGUCAUCAGAAAACUGCAGAAUGGAACUUUCCAUGGACUUAGAAAGCUUAAAAACUUAUACCUUCAAAAUAACAACCUAAAGGUGAUCCCAGGCAAUGCAUUUGAGGAGCUGGGUAAUCUGAAUACUUUGCAUCUGCAAAACAAUGUUAUCACAAACUUACCAGCAGAACUUUUUGCACAUAAUCAACAGCUCCAGAAACUCUACCUUUCUAAUAAUCAGUUGUCUUUCCUUCCUGAAGCCAUCUUCUUGAAGCUGCCUAUUCUACAGCAGAUCUCACUUUAUGACAACCAGCUGCAGAGUCUAUCUAUUAACACCUUUGGGCCCAUGGUACUGCAGGACCUGUGGCUGUAUGACAACAUGUUAUCUCAUCUUGAGGAAAAUGUAUUUAGCAAUUUAACUCAUAUGCAACUUCUUGUGCUGAGCAGAAACCGGAUCUCACAUAUUUCUCCUGGUGUGUUCAAUGGAUUGAAUGAGCUGAAAGAAAUUUCUUUGCACACUAACUGCCUGACAAGCCUUGAUGAAACAGUGUUCAGAGGCCUUCCAAAGUUGGUCAACAUAUCUUUGGAAAACAACAAAAUUCAGUACAUUCCAGAAAAUCUACUUGAAGGUGGAAUCAUGACAAUAUUCCAAAACUUCCAUCUCAUCAUACCGUUAUUCAAAGAUCACUAAGCUGAAAACAUUUAUCUUGUAUAAGAACCAGCUGACAUCAAUACCUGAUGGAUAAUCUACCAAAUUUGAAAGAAAUAGACAUGAAUGCCAACAGAAUCCGUUUAAGAUGAAGUCUUCUUCUCCAGAGGUUUGUGAGCGUCCGGAAGACUUGAAAGGCCAAUCAAGCACAUCUUUAAAAGAAGACCAACUGAUAUGUCAAAUAUCUCUGCUAACCAUUACAAACAAUAUGACUGUUCCAACAACUACCAGCACAUUAGAAACCACUCAGCUUACAACUAUACCAUCAAAUACUUCUUCUUCUCCUAUUAACAGCCACAGUAAUCCUUACAAAAACCGCAACUUCAACUACAGUAUACACCACUAUUCAUAGUUUUCAGUCAUGUGACUGGCACGGGGACCUGGAGGGCAAAACACCAUUCCAUAAUGUCAGCCAAGACUAGACACUUCAUGGAACUGCAGUAUAGGCCUGUCAAUUUUCCAUCUAUUUCAAACCACGAAUAUGUUGAUGACAUCUCAAAAGAAGAAAAACAAAGGUAUUUGAACAAAGCACAAGUUUUGGGCACUUGCGAUCCAUAUACAGCACCUGCCGCAUGUAUUUCAAUCACUGAAAACAGCGAAGUCCCUGCCAGAGCUCCACAUUGGCAAUAUUGUGGAGAAUCCAUCCCCUUACACUGUCGCCAGGAUGAAAGCGUACAAAAGUACAGACAGUCAUCUGUAUUUUCGAUCUAGAUGGGUCAAUGAUGCUGCCGUUUGGGACGUGAAGGAGAAGAAAUUAAUCACUGUCAGAGCAAAGGUGAGUGCUAAUUACCUAACAUUAGUUUCUGGUUCACUGUAGUCUGUGUUCUAGGGCAGUAAUGUUUUGGUUAGGUUAACAAAAUAUCUAAUGACAUAAAUCCAAUCAAAACUUUUUUUUUUAAUGUCAGGUAAACCAUUCAUACUGUUUAAACUGUUAGUGCACCCAACUGAACAACAACUAUAUGACAUUUUGGCAAAACAAAUCUGGUAAAUAUAACUGGCAGGCAGCGGAAGAAAGCCGAGUUUGGCCCUCCAGGUGGCCGUUCCCAUAAAAAUGUGACGUCAGGUGAAAAUUAUGAAUAACAGCAACCACACAACCAACUACUCCAACCGCAGAACCAACCACUGCAUCUACAGCUUUAACAGAUUCAGUUCCAACUCCAGAGGCCACAACUACUACACUCUUUACUACACACAAAAUAAGGAAAAUAACACCAGCCUCCACCACCCCUAGGACUUUUGUCUGUAGUUGUUACUCCAACUCUCAGCAUCCUUCCAAGAACAUUUAUUAAAAUGACUGCCCAUACUUCUUAGGGUGUUCAUGUAUGCUGGGGCAAGACGAUAAACACACUACACUAUGUGCUGACACGAGUCAAUAUUUUGGAGCAACAUAGAAUAAGGUAAAUAUUUUCUAUGUCUUAUUGGUAGACACAUAAUAUUUCUAUUGUUAUGUUGAUAAUUAUCAUGCUAAAUAGAUACAAAUAUGAGGAGGUUAAUAUUUUGAAUCAUUGAUAGUUAAGUGUUUUAGACUGUAUCCACUUGGAUCCGAUUUUAAGCUUAUAUUACAAGAACACAUAGUAUGGGUGAUCAAAUAGUUAGGUCUAGUCUCUCAUUUGCAUGUACAAACUAUGACAACAUUAUCUAAGAAAAGAACAUCAUAGUACAUGUGUUGUUUUUUUUUUAUAGAAAUAAAAUAAAAAUAAAAAUCAACCAUAAGGUGAUAUGAUUCUGAAAUUGAUUAUUUUCACAUAAUAGCAAGUCCUGAUGUGUAUUAUUUGUCUUAUAUUAUUAAUGACCAUGUGGUAAUUUAUUGAUCCACAAUGCUGUGCAAUGUCUGUGAAACAAAAUCCUGUUAUCAUAAACAUUAUAACAUCUACAGACAGUCAUUUUCUCACUUUCUCUAGAGUUUAAUAAGACAAAAAUUUCAGCUUGUUACAGAGAAACCACACAACAUUCUACAUCCUUUAAUGUUCACUCAGUGCUUAUU
Ictalurus punctatus (channel catfish) is the source of this 3405-nucleotide RNA transcript. It is a transcript of the gene named leucine-rich repeat-containing protein 15, with no coding region annotated. NCBI's taxonomy places the organism in Eukaryota, Metazoa, Chordata, Actinopteri, Siluriformes, Ictaluridae. The record is from RefSeq and is a predicted model, not a curated record. The transcript has 4 exons.